CGGCCACCGGCCCAAUAUCAACCACCGUUGACGGCAGUGGAAGAGAUCAUGACGACGACGAAGACGAGCCAAAUGGAGGCGGCGUGGUGGUCGGAAACCGCCGAUCGAGAGGACGGCCACCGGGAUCGAAAAACAAACCAAAAUCUCCAAUCAUCGUCACGAGCGACAACCCUCACGCGCUUCGCACGCACGUGAUCGAGAUCAUCGUAG
RNAcentral lists this unclassified non-coding RNA (210 nucleotides) under Hevea brasiliensis (rubber tree). Lineage: Eukaryota; Viridiplantae; Streptophyta; Magnoliopsida; Malpighiales; Euphorbiaceae. The record is from RNAcentral.